This is a long non-coding RNA of Strigops habroptila (Kakapo), 1274 nucleotides long. RefSeq lists it as uncharacterized. The transcript is spliced from 2 exons. NCBI's taxonomy places the organism in Eukaryota, Metazoa, Chordata, Aves, Psittaciformes, Psittacidae. The record is from RefSeq and is a predicted model, not a curated record.
AUCUUCGCAGUGUCUCCAUCAAGAUACACCCAGGGUUGGAGCUGACGUGGGCCACUGAAGUCAGGCUGGAAACUCCAGUUCAGCUCAUGGAUUCAGACUGAGACAGGAACUCUGGUCACACACAGCCAUCUAUGUACCCUACUCCCCAGUGUCACUGGCCUAACUCCUCACUAUGCUGGAUAUUGAACCACUACACAGAAAGAUCUAAUCACUAACCCAGGAACCAGCAAUUCAAGGCCCAGAUAUCAAAACAAGAUUUUCUCAGGCCUGUGAUAAUGAUUGCUACCCACAUCUAUCUUCUUACUUUGAAAUGUUAUUCCCUUCUAAGCUAAAACACAGACCAGAAAUAUAGAGUACAGAGAAAGCUUCACCUUAAAACACGGCCUGGCAAUCACUAAUGUAAGUGAUGCAAUGCACUGUCUACCUUAAUCCAGAUUAUGUGGGAGAGAAUGUAUUCAUUGUCAACGAGCUACACAAGCCUAUAAAACCCCAGGGAAAGAGUGCUUUAUAUUGCAUGAGAACUCUAGCAUGCUAUAAAGCAGAAGGCACUCCUAUGUUCAGUAGCUGAGCAUGUAAAACUAAGGAAGGGUGUGGGAAUCAGGAGAAGGCUGAGCAACAUGAAAAGAACUAAGACUUUCAUGUGUUUCUAGUUAGUAUGGAGGUAUUUUUAAGGGUCCUGUUAGAAGUCUCUGAGCAGUACUUUGUCUUCAGAAAAUGUUUGGAAACUACCCCUGAAUGAGGUCUCUUCUGGAAGUUUCAGGUCAAGUAGCUGUUAUAUACCUCCUCCUCCAGUUGAAUACCUCCCCUCCAGUUGCCAAUCUUGAUAAUUCAGAGAAGAGUUUCCAUCUGAGUCCUUUCUGCCUGUUGAGGUUUCGGAAGAUCACAGGAUCAGAAUGGCCACAGGAAAGGAUCUGGGGGUUGGAGGCUUUUCAAGCACCCAUGUAAGUAAGUGGUACCUCAGGAUGCCUGGCUGGGCAGGAACCAUCUGUCACCUCCAUUCACAUGGGGCAGCGGGCACAGCUCCAGGGCACAACUGGAGUGGUCAUUGUCUUGGGGGGCUGUUUGGCAGUUGGCACAGCCUUGAUCAGUGAAUCAGAGAUGGUGGCAACCAGCCGCGGCUGGCAUGUGGAGCCAUGGCGCAGCAAAUACAUGCUCUCGCCCUAGCUGCAGGCAGGCCAAAGGCAGAAGCCAGCGGUGUGAGUCCUGCACUUGACGUGUGAGAUCAGACAGGCCCAGGCUUAUGCAGGAUCAUAUGCUGAGCAUGAGCCAACUGC